CUUGACGUUCCCUGCGUGCUCUCAGUCGACCUGGUUAGCAUAGGCCUCUGGGCUUGGGUCUCCUAUAAGCCGAAUAAUAACCGGUGGGGGCGGGAAACAAGAUACGAUGGUCUUUGAGCUUACACUUAGGUGUCCAAAAGGCAGAGCUGCCCCCUACCGUAACCAGAUCCGCACCGCUGUCCCCAGUCCUGGAAGGCAGUCACAAGCCGCCCGUCCAACACCUGGACGGCGACGGGCUUUAUUCCAGCCGCCACCGACAGAACCGACCCACCAGCAGCUAUCUUCCCGCCGAUUGUCUUGUUUCCCGCGCCCCUGACUACAACCUAUACCUUGCGCAUCGCUUCAUUGCGGCUAACCAGGGCGUCCACCAGCUGAGUCACUUGCUCUGCCUCCGUUGCCGGGUGUUUAAACCGGCAGGGCUGCCCCGUCUGUGCCCGGGCACAGCGCCCGUUCCACGCGUGGGUAAUGCAGAGUUUGCUUCCAUCCACGUUGCCGCGGUACGCAAUCUCCGAGAUUGACCCAGAGCCCACACCCUGGAAUCCCCGCCGGUCUAGCUCCUGAUUAACCGCUGCCACCACGCUAGCAGGUGGGCCCAGGCGCUGCACUCCGCGGCCCCCGGCGUGAGGCGCUCCCAGCCCCGCGUCCCGAGGGGGGGCCUGAAAGCCCCCACCCACUUGUCCCCAACCAGCGGUCCUCUGCUCUGGGCGGCNNN
This 712-nucleotide long non-coding RNA is filed under the name Volvox carteri. Its description in RNAcentral is "long non-coding RNA (VCAR_LNC000692)". Lineage: Eukaryota; Viridiplantae; Chlorophyta; Chlorophyceae; Chlamydomonadales; Volvocaceae. The record is from RNAcentral.